AUUGUCAUAUUUUUCUGUUUUACAGUUUUCUGUAAAAAUAAAUAUGUUGCACGGGAGAUGAGUUGGCCCAUCAUUUCAGUGGUGUAACACAGACACUGAGGAAGUACCCGGGAAUCCCACAGGCAAAUCGGAACCAUGAAGAGGCCGCUAGGAAAGCUGUAACCACCAAGUACUUGCAGAGGGUCGGGCAAGUCCUGAGGAGUCAGCUAACUGUAAAGCAGAGGAAAACAGCAGGGGAUGAAAAAAUGGUGGCGUUUGAGCGGAGGGUAAAGAAGACAGCAGGAAGAGAAAAUCCGUUGACAUGUCCCUAAAAUGUCUUAGAGCGCCUCAGAGUUGGCUUGCGUGUGAUUAUGACAAUGAGAAGAGAAGAGAGAGGUGUGAGCAGAGGGAAUGGAAGAGGCAGAAACGCAGCUGCCACGUUGAUUAAGGAAGCCGAGGCUGAGAGGAGACAGCAGGCCACGGCCAGGCUCAGCACAGGUGUGAAUCCUCAUGGAGCUCCGUGUGGAUUGUGUGGAACAGAACAGUGGAAAAACCCUGAAGUACUGAUCUGAUGAAGGUGCCGGAUCGAUCUGAUUGAUGAGCCGGGAUGAUCGUUUGCCUGCUGCGUGAUGGGGCCAAACCAGCGGUCUGAUUAACCAGCAGAAUGGAGGACAGCCAAUCCGGGAACUCCCCUCCAGCAGCAGUUAAAGGCCUCUUAUAGAUUUUCCUGGAGCGUCUUUACUCUUCAAUCACAGAGCUACUUCAUCAAGAAGCAUCAAUCAGCAUCCAGCAGAGCGGCCAGUAAUUACAGGGGGCCACUUCCAGGCGCUGAUUUCUCCCCGAGCCGGCGUCAUCGUCUGUGCUUCAAGUCGCCAAACCCUCGCCAGUGACCAUUCGAUCCCCUUAGAGCUGGCCUAGCCUCAAAUAGAUGGCACACUUCAGCCAGUCUCAUGAGCCAGGUGGAUAUUUUUUUUAAUUCAGGUUUUUCUUAGCAGGGUGGAAUGAAAUCAGGCUCCUGAGAGAGAAAAAAAGCCUGAUGGAUGCCACUGAUGGCUAGAAAGAAUUCAAACUGCAAGUCAGAGGUCAGUCAAACUCAUCUGCUUGAGAGCCUCAGAAGGCUGUGUUCACAGCACACACAUUAUCGUGGUCAUAAUCCACAAAUCCCUAACUUUAAAGAGUAAUUCCAGUCUAUUCAACUUAGGUCUUUCUCAUGUUUAACAUUAUUCUCACCAAGUUAAUAUUUGACAUCUUGGAACGCAGUGGCGUUACUAAAGAGAGGUAUCUAGCAGUCAGACUAUCAGGCAGGUUUAAAAUGAACAGGCAGUUUAGGCAGAUUAUCUAAAGCACUAUAUUUGGAUGUCAAAUUGAAAGGGAGUGCAGCUAAAAUGGCUGUAAGAAUCUGUCAGGUUUAAAGCAGGCGGUCAGUACAUUCCAGCCUCAUGCAGAAAGGACAACACAUCAGAUACCAGACACCACAUACCAGGAUGCAUGUGUGGAAGACAAAUGAUUAAUACCACAUUUUAAAAUGUUUAAUUU
This is a long non-coding RNA of Oreochromis niloticus (Nile tilapia), 1515 nucleotides long. RefSeq lists it as uncharacterized. The record is from RefSeq and is a predicted model, not a curated record. Lineage: Eukaryota; Metazoa; Chordata; Actinopteri; Cichliformes; Cichlidae. The transcript is spliced from 4 exons.